Molecule: ribosomal RNA, 512 nt
Filed under: Parnassius jacquemontii actinoboloides
Lineage: Eukaryota; Metazoa; Arthropoda; Insecta; Lepidoptera; Papilionidae
Also listed under: 1 other name
Description: partial 16S ribosomal RNA
Rfam family: Bacterial large subunit ribosomal RNA (bases 385-512)
Source: RNAcentral
UUUUUGGUUAAUAAUUUAAAGUCUAAUCUGCCCACUGAUAAUAUAUUAAAGGGCUGCAGUAUUUUGACUGUACAAAGGUAGCAUAAUCAUUAGUCUCUUAAUUGGUGACUUGUAUGAAAGAUUUGAUGAGAUAUAUACUGUCUCUUUUUAAUUUAUAAAAUUUAAUUUUUUAGUUAAAAAGCUAAAAUAUAUUUAAAAGACGAGAAGACCCUAUAGAGUUUUAUAUUUAUAUAAAUUAAAAUUUUUUAUAAGCUUUAAGAUUUUAAUUUAUAUAAAUAUUUUGUUGGGGUGAUAGAAAAAUUAAAAUAACUUUUUUUAUAAUUUUACAUUAAUAAAUGAAUAAAUGAUCCGUAAUUUACGAUUAUAAGAUAAAAUUACCUUAGGGAUAACAGCGUAAUUUUUUUUUUUAGCUCAAAUAAGAAAAAAAGUUUGCGACCUCGAUGUUGGAUUAAGAUAAAAUUUAAAUGCAAAAGUUUAAAAUUUUUGAUCUGUUCGAUCAUUAAAAUCUUACA